This is an unclassified non-coding RNA of Pongo abelii (Sumatran orangutan), 148 nucleotides long. It matches the Rfam family "Metazoan signal recognition particle RNA". From Rfam's summary of the family: The signal recognition particle (SRP) is a universally conserved ribonucleoprotein. It is involved in the co-translational targeting of proteins to membranes. The record is from Ensembl. NCBI's taxonomy places the organism in Eukaryota, Metazoa, Chordata, Mammalia, Primates, Hominidae.
GCCAGGUGUAGUGGUGUGCGCCUGUAAUCCUAGCUACUCGGGAGGCUGAGGCAGGAGAAUCACUUGAACCCAGGAGGUGGAGGUUGCAGUGAGCCAAAAUCGUGCUACUGUACUCCAGCCUGGGCAACAGAGUGAGACUCUGUCUCAA